Molecule: ribosomal RNA, 389 nt
Filed under: Papio anubis (olive baboon)
Lineage: Eukaryota; Metazoa; Chordata; Mammalia; Primates; Cercopithecidae
Description: partial 12S ribosomal RNA
Rfam family: Bacterial small subunit ribosomal RNA
Source: RNAcentral
GCCUGGCCCUAAACCUCAAUAGUUAAAAUAACAAAACUAUUCGCCAGAAUACUACAAGCAACAGCUUGAAACUCAAAGGACUUGGCGGUGCUUCAUACCCCCUAGAGGAGCCUGUUCUGUAAUCGAUAAACCCCGAUCCACCCCACCCUCUCUUGCUUAGUCUAUAUACCGCCAUCUUCAGCAAACCCUGAUGAAGGCUACGAAGUGAGCGCAAAUGCCCUUCCCCGCAAAAACGUUAGGUCAAGGUGUAACCUAUGAGACGGUAAAAAUGGGCUACAUUUUCUACUUCAGAAUAUCCACGAUAGCUCCUAUGAAAUCUAGGAGCCCAAGGAGGAUUUAGCAGUAAAUUAAGAAUAGAGUGCUUAAUUGAACUAGGCCAUAAAGCACGC